AGUAGUUUGAUCCUGGCCUCGAAGAACGAACGCUGGCGGCAGGCCUAACACAUGCAAGUCGAGCGCCCAGCAAUGGGGAGCGGCAGACGGGUGAGUAACGCGUGGGUAUCUACCUAGUGGUGCGGAAUAGCCCAGGGAAACUUGGAGUAAUACCGCAUAAGCCCGAAAGGGGAAAGAUUUAUCGCCAUUAGAUGAGCCCGCGUUGGAUUAGCUAGUUGUGGGGUAACGGCCCACCAAGGCGACGAUCCAUAGCUGGUCUGAGAGGAUGAUCAGCCACACUGGGACUGAGACACGGCCCAGACUCCUACGGGAGGCAGCAGUGGGGAAUAUUGGACAAUGGGCGCAAGCCUGAUCCAGCCAUGCCGCGUGAGUGACGAAGGUCUUCGGAUUGUAAAGCUCUUUUGGCGGGGACGAUAAUGACGGUACCCGCAGAAUAAGCCCCGGCUAACUUCGUG
This 455-nucleotide ribosomal RNA is filed under the name uncultured bacterium. RNAcentral describes it as "bacterial SSU rRNA". It matches the Rfam family "Bacterial small subunit ribosomal RNA", at positions 1 to 507 of the family's 1533-position model. The record is from RNAcentral.